This 454-nucleotide ribosomal RNA is filed under the name Streptococcus mitis. RNAcentral's name for it is "bacterial SSU rRNA". It matches the Rfam family "Bacterial small subunit ribosomal RNA", at positions 28 to 468 of the family's 1533-position model. The record is from RNAcentral. Lineage: Bacteria; Bacillati; Bacillota; Bacilli; Lactobacillales; Streptococcaceae.
GACGAACGCUGGCGGCGUGCCUAAUACAUGCAAGUAGAACGCUGAAGGAGGAGCUUGCUUCUCUGGAUGAGUUGCGAACGGGUGAGUAACGCGUAGGUAACCUGCCUGGUAGCGGGGGAUAACUAUUGGAAACGAUAGCUAAUACCGCAUAAGAGUAGAUGUUGCAUGACAUUUGCUUAAAAGGUGCAAUUGCAUCACUACCAGAUGGACCUGCGUUGUAUUAGCUAGUUGGUGGGGUAACGGCUCACCAAGGCGACGAUACAUAGCCGACCUGAGAGGGUGAUCGGCCACACUGGGACUGAGACACGGCCCAGACUCCUACGGGAGGCAGCAGUAGGGAAUCUUCGGCAAUGGACGAAAGUCUGACCGAGCAACGCCGCGUGAGUGAAGAAGGUUUUCGGAUCGUAAAGCUCUGUUGUAAGAGAAGAACGAGUGUGAGAGUGGAAAGUUCACA